RNAcentral lists this ribosomal RNA (472 nucleotides) under uncultured bacterium. RNAcentral's name for it is "partial 16S ribosomal RNA". It matches the Rfam family "Bacterial small subunit ribosomal RNA", at positions 28 to 506 of the family's 1533-position model. The record is from RNAcentral.
GAUGAACGCUAGCGGCAGGCCUAAUACAUGCAAGUCGAACGGGCGGUAGCAAUACCGCUAGUGGCGCACGGGUGCGUAACGCGUAACCAACCUGCCCAGAUCUGGGGGAUAGCCCGCCGAAAGGCGGAUUAAUACCGCAUAAACCCACAGUGUGGCAUCACAUAAUGGGUAAAGAUUUAUCGGAUCUGGAUGGGGUUGCGUAGCAUUAGCUAGUUGGCGGGGUAAUGGCCCACCAAGGCGACGAUGCUUAGGGGACCUGAGAGGGUGAUCCCCCACACUGGCACUGAGAUACGGGCCAGACUCCUACGGGAGGCAGCAGUAGGGAAUAUUGGGCAAUGGGCGAGAGCCUGACCCAGCCAUGCCGCGUGCCGGAUGAAGGCCUUCUGGGUUGUAAACGGCUUUUCUCAGGGAAGAAAACGGGGAUGCGUCCUCAACUGACGGUACCUGAGGAAUAAGCACCGGCUAACUCCGU